This 258-nucleotide long non-coding RNA is filed under the name Aquilegia coerulea. Its description in RNAcentral is "long non-coding RNA (ACOE_LNC000737)". The record is from RNAcentral. Lineage: Eukaryota; Viridiplantae; Streptophyta; Magnoliopsida; Ranunculales; Ranunculaceae.
UAAAACUUGCCUCGAUCUUUCUUCUCUUUCCCAACUCGAGUUUCUUCGAUCUUCCUUCAACAAUUUCGAUUCUUCUCACUGAUUCAACAAUUUCGAUUUUCUUCUCACCCAAACAACAGUUCAAUCACUGCCUUUUUUUGUUUUUUUUUUUUUUCGUUUUCAACGUUUUCAAUCACUGCCUCGAUCUGCAACUAAGAACUCAUCCGCGCGCUGCUGUGUGUUUGCAAGUUGGUGUUUUCAAUCGUCGCUCCAAUCACG